GCAGCAUGCAUGUUCC
RNAcentral lists this microRNA (16 nucleotides) under Macrophomina phaseolina MS6. RNAcentral describes it as "miR-4310". The record is from RNAcentral. Lineage: Eukaryota; Fungi; Ascomycota; Dothideomycetes; Botryosphaeriales; Botryosphaeriaceae.